This 547-nucleotide ribosomal RNA is filed under the name uncultured archaeon. RNAcentral's name for it is "bacterial SSU rRNA". It matches the Rfam family "Archaeal small subunit ribosomal RNA", at positions 332 to 879 of the family's 1478-position model. The record is from RNAcentral.
GCAGCAGGCGCGAAAACUUUACAAUGCUGGCAACAGCGAUAAGGGAACCUCGAGUGCCAGGUUACAAAUCUGGCUGUCGAGAUGCCUAAAAAGCAUUUCAUAGCAAGGGCCGGGCAAGACCGGUGCCAGCCGCCGCGGUAACACCGGCGGCUCGAGUGGUAACCGUUAUUAUUGGGUCUAAAGGGUCUGUAGCCGGCCGGAUAAGUCUCUUGAGAAAUCUGGCAGCUUAACUGUCAGGCUUUCAGGAGAUACUGUCUGGCUCGAGGCCGGGAGAGGUGAGAGGUACUUCAGGGGUAGGGGUGAAAUCUUGUAAUCCUUGAAGGACCACCAGUGGCGAAGGCGUCUCACCAGAACGGACCUGACGGCAAGGGACGAAAGCUAGGGGCACGAACCGGAUUAGAUACCCGGGUAGUCCUAGCCGUAAACGAUACUCGCUAGGUGUCGGCCACGGUGCGACCGUUGUCGGUGCCGUAGGGAAGCCGUGAAGCGAGCCACCUGGGAAGUACGGCCGCAAGGCUGAAACUUAAAGGAAUUGGCGGGGGAGCAC